ACAUAUGGGGGGAACACCCUCCAAGGCUAAGUAAUACUCUGUGACCGAUAGCGAACAAGUACCGUGAGGGAAAGGUGAAAAGAACCCCUAUUAGGGGAGUGAAAAAGACCUGAAACCGAAUGCUUACAAACAGUAGGAGCUACAUUACGUAGUGACUGCGUACCUUUUGUAUAAUGGGUCAGCGAGUUAAUUUAUUGAGCAAGCUUAAGCCGUUAGGUGUAGGCGAAGCGAAAGCGAGUAUGAAUAGUGCGUUUUAGUUCGAUGGAUUAGACCCGAAACCGGGUGAUCUAGCUAUGGGCAGGUUGAAGGUGCGGUAACACGCACUGGAGGACCGAACCCACGUCUGUUGAAAAAGACGGGGAUGACCUGUGGCUAGGGGUGAAAGGCCAAUCAAACCCGGAGAUAGCUGGUUCUCCGCGAAAACUAUUUAGGUAGUGCGUCAGAUGUUUACCGCAGGGGGUAGAGCACUGGAUGGGCUAGGGGGGCGCGAGCCUUACCAAACCUAACCAAACUCCGAAUACCUGUAAGUAUAGUCUGGCAGACAGACUAUGGGUGCUAAGGUCCAUAGUCGAAAGGGAAACAGCCCAGACCACCAGCUAAGGUCCCAAAGUUAUGGUUAAGUGGGAAAGGAUGUGGGAAGGCCAAGACAGCCAGGAGGUUGGCUUAGAAGCAGCCAUCCUUUAAAGAUAGCGUAACAGCUCACUGGUCUAGAUAAGCCGGCCUGCGCCGAAGAUGUAACGGGGCUAAAGCCACAUACCGAGGCUGAGGACGUGAUUUAUCACGUGGUAGCAGAGCGUUCUGUAGGCCUGCGAAGCGUAAUCGUGAGAUUGCGUGGAGGUAUCAGAAGUGAGAAUGCUGACAUGAGUAGCGAUAAAGAGUGUGAGAAACACUCUCGCCGUAAGCCCAAGGGUUCCUGCGCAAGGCUAAUCCGCGCAGGGUGAGUCGGCCCCUAAGACGAGGGCGAAAGCCGUAGUCGAUGGGAAUCAGGUUAAUAUUCCUGAACCUGUUGGUAGUGACGGAUGACGUAAGUUGUACAUGCUUAUCGGAUUGUGUGUGCAGCGAAGUUGUCCCAGGAAAUAGCUCCAUCAUGAGGACCGUACCCCAAACCGACACAGGUGGGCAGGUAGAGAGUACCGAGGCGCUUGAGAGAACGAUGUUGAAGGAACUCGGCAAAUUGCCCCCGUAACUUCGGGAGAAGGGGGGCCUGUAUUUGGGCAACCAGAUACAGGUGGCACAGAAUAGGGGGUGGCGACUGUUUAUUAAAAACACAGGGCUCUGCGAAGUAGUAUAUACGACGUAUAGGGUCUGACGCCUGCCCGGUGCUGGAAGGUUAAGAGGAGGAGUGCAAGCUCCGAAUUGAAGCCCCAGUAAACGGCGGCCGUAACUAUAACGGUCCUAAGGUAGCGAAAUUCCUUGUCGGGUAAGUUCCGACCUGCACGAAUGGCGUAACGACUUCCCCGCUGUCUCCAACAUCGACUCAGCGAAAUUGAAUUCCCCGUGAAGAUGCGGGGUACCCGCGGUCAGACGGAAAGACCCCGUGCACCUUUACUA
Molecule: ribosomal RNA, 1551 nt
Filed under: marine metagenome
Description: bacterial LSU rRNA
Rfam family: Bacterial large subunit ribosomal RNA
Source: RNAcentral